GACGAACGCUGGCGGCGUGCUUAACACAUGCAAGUCGAACGGAAAGGCCCUGCUUUUGUGGGGUGCUCGAGUGGCGAACGGGUGAGUAACACGUGAGUAACCUGCCCUUGACUUUGGGAUAACUUCAGGAAACUGGGGCUAAUACCGGAUAGGAGCUCCUGCUGCAUGGUGGGGGUUGGAAAGUUUCGGCGGUUGGGGAUGGACUCGCGGCUUAUCAGCUUGUUGGUGGGGUAGUGGCUUACCAAGGCUUUGACGGGUAGCCGGCCUGAGAGGGUGACCGGCCACAUUGGGACUGAGAUACGGCCCAGACUCCUACGGGAGGCAGCAGUGGGGAAUAUUGCACAAUGGGCGGAAGCCUGAUGCAGCAACGCCGCGUGCGGGAUGACGGCCUUCGGGUUGUAAACCGCUUUCGCCUGUGACGAAGCGUGAGUGACGGGAAUGGGUAAGAAGCACCGGCUAACUACGUG
This 467-nucleotide ribosomal RNA is filed under the name uncultured bacterium. RNAcentral describes it as "partial 16S ribosomal RNA". It matches the Rfam family "Bacterial small subunit ribosomal RNA", at positions 28 to 507 of the family's 1533-position model. The record is from RNAcentral.